CCUACGGGUGGCAGCAGUGAGGAAUAUUGGUCAAUGGACGAGAGUCUGAACCAGCCAAGUAGCGUGAAGGAUGACUGCCCUAUGGGUUGUAAACUUCUUUUAUAUGGGAAUAAAACGUUCCACGUGUGGGAUUUUGUAUGUACCAUAUGAAUAAUGAUCGGCUAACUCCGUGCCAGCAGCCGCGGUAAUACGGAGGAUCCGAGCGUUAUCCGGAUUUAUUGGGUUUAAAGGGAGCGUAGGUGGAUUGUUAAGUCAGUUGUGAAAGUUUGCGGCUCAACCGUAAAAUUGCAGUUGAAACUGGCAGUCUUGAGUACAGUAGAGGUGGGCGGAAUUCGUGGUGUAGCGGUGAAAUGCUUAGAUAUCAAGAAGAACUCCGAUUGCGAAGGCAGUUCACUGGACUGCAACUGACACUGAGGCUCGAAAGUGUGGGUAUCAAACAGGAUUAGAUACCCGAGUAGUC
RNAcentral lists this ribosomal RNA (460 nucleotides) under uncultured bacterium. RNAcentral describes it as "partial 16S ribosomal RNA". It matches the Rfam family "Bacterial small subunit ribosomal RNA", at positions 338 to 795 of the family's 1533-position model. The record is from RNAcentral.